GGGGAUGUAGUUCAGUGGUAGAACGCUCGCUUUGCAUUGAGUUGUAGAAUGCGAGAGGCCCGGGUUUCGAUCACCCGCGUCUCCA
This is a non-coding RNA of Acephala macrosclerotiorum, 85 nucleotides long. Lineage: Eukaryota; Fungi; Ascomycota; Leotiomycetes; Helotiales; Mollisiaceae. The record is from the annotation of a GenBank genome assembly.